Molecule: ribosomal RNA, 429 nt
Filed under: Chloroflexota bacterium
Lineage: Bacteria; Bacillati; Chloroflexota
Description: Chloroflexi bacterium partial 16S ribosomal RNA
Rfam family: Bacterial small subunit ribosomal RNA
Source: RNAcentral
UGGGGAAUAUUGCACAAUGGGCGCAAGCCUGAUGCAGCCAUGCCGCGUGUAUGAAGAAGGCCUUCGGGUUGUAAAGUACUUUCAGUCGGGAGGAAGGUGGUAAGGUUAAUAACCUUGGCAAUUGACGUUACCGACAGAAGAAGCACCGGCUAACUCCGUGCCAGCAGCCGCGGUAAUACGGAGGGUGCAAGCGUUAAUCGGAAUUACUGGGGGUAAAGCGCACGCAGGCGGUUGAUUGAGUCAGAUGUGAAAUCCCCGGGCUUAACCCGGGAAUUGCAUCUGAUACUGGUCAGCUAGAGUCUUGUAGAGAGGGGUAGUAUUCCAUGUGUAGCGGUGAAAUGCGUAGAGAUGUGGAGGAAUACCGGUGGCGAAGGCGGCCCCCUAGACAAAGACUGACGCUAAGGUGCGAAAGCGUGGAGAUCAAACAGG